Molecule: microRNA precursor, 92 nt
Filed under: Podarcis lilfordi (Lilford's wall lizard)
Lineage: Eukaryota; Metazoa; Chordata; Lepidosauria; Squamata; Lacertidae
Source: RNAcentral
UCCAGCGCUUUUGGGACUACAACUCCCAUCAUCCCUAGCUAACAGGACCAGUGGUCAGGGAUGAUGGGAACUGUAGUCCCAAAAGAGCUGGA